RNAcentral lists this ribosomal RNA (634 nucleotides) under uncultured Lachnospiraceae bacterium. RNAcentral's name for it is "bacterial SSU rRNA". It matches the Rfam family "Bacterial small subunit ribosomal RNA", at positions 70 to 719 of the family's 1533-position model. Lineage: Bacteria; Bacillati; Bacillota; Clostridia; Lachnospirales; Lachnospiraceae. The record is from RNAcentral.
CUUAGAGAGCUUGCUUUUUAAGCUUAGUGGCGAACGGGUGAGUAACGCGUGAGUAACCUGCCCUAGAGUGGGGGACAACAGUUGGAAACGACUGCUAAUACCGCAUAAGCCCACGGUACCGCAUGGUACUGAGGGAAAAGGAUUUAUUCGCUUUAGGAUGGACUCGCGUCCAAUUAGCUAGUUGGUGAGGUAACGGCCCACCAAGGCGACGAUUGGUAGCCGGACUGAGAGGUUGAACGGCCACAUUGGGACUGAGACACGGCCCAGACUCCUACGGGAGGCAGCAGUGGGGGAUAUUGCACAAUGGGGGAAACCCUGAUGCAGCGACGCCGCGUGGAGGAAGAAGGUUUUCGAAUUGUAAACUCCUGUCGUUAGGGACGAUAAUGACGGUACCUAACAAGAAAGCACCGGCUAACUACGUGCCAGCAGCCGCGGUAAAACGUAGGGUGCAAGCGUUGUCCGGAAUUACUGGGUGUAAAGGGAGCGCAGGCGGGAAGACAAGUUGGAAGUGAAAACCAUGGGCUCAACCCAUGAAUUGCUUUCAAAACUGUUUUUCUUGAGUAGUGCAGAGGUAGAUGGAAUUCCCGGUGUAGCGGUGGAAUGCGUAGAUAUCGGGAGGAACACCAGUGGCGAA